RNAcentral lists this non-coding RNA (87 nucleotides) under Pseudomonas sp. SJZ094. The record is from RNAcentral. Lineage: Bacteria; Pseudomonadati; Pseudomonadota; Gammaproteobacteria; Pseudomonadales; Pseudomonadaceae. RNAcentral also lists the same sequence under 1 other name.
GUGGGAGGGGGCUUGCCCCCGAUAGCGGUGUGUCAGUCAGCUCAUCUUUAACUGAUCCACUGCAAUCGGGGGCAAGCCCCCUCCCAC